UUAUUGAUUUUAUUAUGUUUAUUUUUUGUUUAUUAAUUAUUUAAUAGAAAUAACUUUUUUGAUUUUUGUCUAAGUAUAUUUUAUAGAAUUGAUUUUUUUUAUUAUAGUCAAUUAGUAAUGUAAAUGGAUUUUGUAAUAUUUUGUUAAAUUAUUAAAAGUAGAUUUUAUUUUUUGUACCUUUUGUAUCAGGGUUCAUCAAAAUUUUAGUAUUUAUUUACUAUUCUCGAUUUAGGUUGAUUUAUAAACAGAUUAUAGUUAAUGUUUCAUAAUUAUUAUUAAUUUGUUUAUAGAAAUGAUAUGUUAAUCGUUUCCUAAGAUAUCUAGUUUCUUAAGAAAAAAUUUAAUUUUUUAUGAUUUUUGUUUUACUUUAAUUAUUUAAUUUAAAAUAAUUAUCAAUUUAUUCUUUAGGGGAUAAGCUCUAAAGGUAUAUAAUCUAUAAUUUAUAAUUUAAAAUUUAAAAGUAAGCUUUAAAACAGCUAUCUUAAUUGAGUACGUUUUAGUUCAUUUUUAUAAAUUUGAUUUUAUAAUUGUUUUAGAUUUUGUAUUAAGAUUAUUUAUUCAAUUUCAAAUUAUUUGAAAUAAUGAUGAAAUUAGUAUAUUUAUUUAUUUAUAAUUUUUUUGCUGAUAAUUUAGUAUAAGGAAUUAGGCAAAAUUGAUUUUCGCCUGUUUAUCAAAAACAUGUCCUCUUGAUUAUACUUUGAGGUCUGACCUGCUCACUGAUUAUUUUUAAGAGCCGCGGUAUUUUGACCGUGCAAAGGUAGCAUAAUCAUUAGUCUCUUAAUUAGGGGCUGGAAUGAAUGGUUUGACGAAAAAUCAACUGUCUCUUAUUAAAUUUUAGAAUUUAACUUUUGAGUCAAAAGGCUUAAAUUUUUCUUUAGGACGAGAAGACCCUAUAGAUCUUUAUACUUUAUUUUUAUAAGGAUUUCUGUUUGUUUUUUCUUUAUUAAAUGAGGGUAUUUAGUUGGGGUGACGUGAAGAAUAAAUAAACUCUUCAUUAUAAAAUCAUUAAUUUAUGUUUAUUUGAUCCAUAAUUUAUGAUCAUAAGAUUAAGUUACCUUAGGGAUAACAGCGUAAUUGUUUUUGAGAGCUCAUAUCGACAAAGCAGAUUGCGACCUCGAUGUUGGAUUAAGAAAAAUUUUGGGUGUAGGAGUCCAUUAAUUAGGUCUGUUCGACCUUUAAAUUCUUACAUGAUCUGAGUUCAGACCGGCGUGAGCCAGGUCGGUUUCUAUCCUAAGAUUAUUUAUUUACAUUAGUACGAAAGGACCAUGUGAGUGAAAUAUUUUUUGUAGAUUUGAUUAAAAUUAAAUUU
Molecule: ribosomal RNA, 1309 nt
Filed under: Ommexecha virens
Lineage: Eukaryota; Metazoa; Arthropoda; Insecta; Orthoptera; Ommexechidae
Description: large subunit ribosomal RNA
Rfam family: Archaeal large subunit ribosomal RNA (bases 548-1309)
Source: RNAcentral